AACGAACGCUGGCGGCGUGGAUUAGGCAUGCAAGUCGUGCGCGAAAGGAGGGGCAACCCUCCGAGUAGAGCGGCGAACUGGUGAGUAACAGGUGGGUAACGUGCCCCAAAGUGGGGGAUAACCCAGGGAAACUUGGGCUAUACCGCAUGUGGUCAUGAGGACUAUGGUCCAAAUGACCAAAGGAGUAAUUCGCUUUGGGAUCGG
RNAcentral lists this ribosomal RNA (204 nucleotides) under uncultured bacterium. RNAcentral's name for it is "partial 16S ribosomal RNA". It matches the Rfam family "Bacterial small subunit ribosomal RNA", at positions 29 to 229 of the family's 1533-position model. The record is from RNAcentral.